GCCUUCGUGGUGCAGUGGUCAGCACGCUCGGCGCGUAUUCGAGAGGUCCGGGGUUCAAGUCCCCGGGAGGGCA
RNAcentral lists this transfer RNA (73 nucleotides) under Stegodyphus mimosarum. Its description in RNAcentral is "tRNA-Thr for anticodon CGU". It matches the Rfam family "tRNA". From Rfam's summary of the family: Transfer RNA (tRNA) molecules are approximately 80 nucleotides in length. Their secondary structure includes four short double-helical elements and three loops (D, anti-codon, and T loops). Further hydrogen bonds mediate the characteristic L-shaped molecular structure. tRNAs have two regions of fundamental functional importance: the anti-codon, which is responsible for specific mRNA codon recognition, and the 3' end, to which the tRNAs corresponding amino acid is attached (by aminoacyl-tRNA synthetases). tRNAs cope with the degeneracy of the genetic code in two manners: having more than one tRNA (with a specific anti-codon) for a particular amino acid; and 'wobble' base-pairing, i.e. permitting non-standard base-pairing at the 3rd anti-codon position. The record is from Rfam by way of RNAcentral. Lineage: Eukaryota; Metazoa; Arthropoda; Arachnida; Araneae; Eresidae.